Molecule: long non-coding RNA, 4374 nt
Organism: Lates calcarifer (barramundi perch)
Lineage: Eukaryota; Metazoa; Chordata; Actinopteri; Centropomidae
Exons: 3
Source: RefSeq, a predicted model, not a curated record
ACAGGAUAAUUUUUUUAAAAAUCAGAUUGCAGUGAAGAUGCAGAAAGAAAACAUGGAGAGAGAGAGAGAGGGAUGACUUGCAACAAAGGUCCACUAUCAGAAUACAACAGUGGAUGGUGAAUUUAUAUGAUAUACAUCAUAAUAUUACACCAACUGUUAUCUGUAUCACUGUCCUGUUAAACCAGGGUUAUCAUAUUAAAAUAUGAUAUAGGAAAAAACAGACAUGCUCGUUGCCAUGCAACAUCUUAAAAUGAUUAGCAAUCAUACAACACGCUGUAUUUCUGCUAAUCCGUGCAAGAUUACAAACCCAAGUCACAUGCCUCCAUUUAUAAAAACUCACAGGCAGCUGCCAUGGCUAAGCAUGCAGGGAUGGGGAUGGCAGGGUUUAUAUUUGUAGUCAACAUGUGAUUCUCGUGGCCUAUUAAACAUCAGAUGAUGGUGGAGGCGUGAGCGGAUGUAUCUGACACAGCGGAGGCCUUUGGCUCCCUCAGCCAGGCCACUGUGAAUCACGUCGUCUGCUCGAAAUGUAAAUGUAAAAUGACUCAGUGUGACUGCCUUCCAGAGCAACGCCUGACUCUCACCAUCCCUCGCCACAGCUGCGACCAUAAUGUUUACAUUAUGAUGAAUGAAUAUACAAUGACGAAUAUACUGUAUACAUAUGGGGUGAUAUGUAUAGUCUACUUUCUAUUAAAUGGCUCGCAGACUCCUGUGCGCUGACUGUCACCCUGCUGUUGAGCUAUCAUUUUUACCAGUGCUAAAAAUUUCUGUUUACAUUUUACUUGGCAAGCAAUCCAAAAAAACUGAAACACUGUUUUCAGUGUUCUAAUUUAUUCAGAGUUGAACAUACAGUAUCCCUGACGGAAGCCGAAAGAGAGAUUAUUUCCAUUCUGCACUGAAAUUCUGUACCAAUUGUGAGGAUCUUGCAAAAUAUGAAGAUAUGUAUAGCUACAUGGAAUUGGCACAAAGCUCAUAUUAUUAUUUCACUAUCUAGUUUUCACCUCGUGGAUCCAGAAUUGUCAUCACACCGGCCUGCUGUUACUAUCGCUAUUUGGCCACAAACUCGCUGUGGAGGUUUGGUCAUCUCUGCAGGCGUCGAGGUGCCAGCUUGGCCCUGCAGAGCCUCUCUCUGAGCUCCUGGAACAUUCGAGCGAAGGCCCAGAGGAGGAGGAGGAGGCGGUGUCCACAGUGCGUCGCUAUGAACAGCCGGCCUGUCUGCCCCUUGGCACGAAGAACACCCAAAAAAAAUAAUGUAGCGAGUCGGUGGGACUACAUUAAGGAGAGCAAGCUUGUGCCAAGGCCAGAGGGGGUUGUGUGUUUGUGUGUGUGUGUGCCAGCUGAAGCUGCCGCUGCUGUCUCGACGGCUGCUUUAUUUUGGCUCCAGUUGCUAUAGCGACCCUGUGGGACUUUCAGUGUGUCUGAACCAGUGAUCCGAUCGAUGCUAACCAACACCAGCAGCAGAGGUGUUUGAAUUUAUCUGGUGAAAUGGUGUUUCCACACUGGCAGUCGCCACACUUCAAGGACUUCCACUGGCUAACUAUAGACUCCCUCGAUGUCAUAUCCUCUCUGGAGAGCUGAACUCCACUUCUUCUAUUUAUGGUCCAAAUCAUUGUCAGAGGAUGAUGGAUGACACUCCCUGAGCGUGAACUGGAAACUGUUCUGUGUGUUGGAAAAUACUCAAGAUUGGGAGGGGGAAAAAAUCAUUAAACAAAACCAAUUCUGUGACCUUAAAGAAUGUGUUUUCUGGUGUGGGCUUGGCUCGAAACAUUGUUUUCCUUCAAAAAACUGUAAAUGUGUUGGCUAUGUUUAUAAACAGAGAUUUAUUUCUAAAGCUUAAAGGGAACUGUUGAACACAUCUGGAAAAACAAUCAUUUGUUUUCAUGCCGGUAGUUGGAUGAGAAGAUUGAUGCCACUCAUUUCUGUACCCUAAUAAAUAUGGAGCUAAAGUUAACAGCCAGUUAGCUUAGCGUAGCAUAAAUACUGUAAACGGGACAACAGCUAGCUUCUGCACAGCAAAACAACAACUUGUUUUUACACUUCAGCUUUUGUAAGGAUAAAACAAGGAACACCGUGUAAAUUUGAAAGCUUUAGAGGCAGAUUGUGUUGUUUUUGGACAGACUAACAACUAGCUGUUCCCCCCGUUUUGAGUUUUUGUGCUAAGCUAAGCUAGCUGGCUGCUAACUUUAUAUUUAGUAAGAAGUCUCUGUGUAGAAACUUGACCACACUAGAGAAAACCAGACUAGAAUAAAUGUGUCCAUGUGGAUAAAACCAGUGCUAUUUAUAAUAUGAAUCCUAUUAUGUAGGGCAGGAUGGAUGAUAGUGACAGUGACAGUAAUUCAUGUGUAAGUGAACUAAAUAUUCUGCAUUCUUUGCUCAUGAGUAUCUGUAAUGCAUGCAUACAUACAGUACAUCCGUGAGUAGUAUGAGUACUAUCCUGAGUACUAUUAGCCCCCGUGCUGACACAGGCGCUGGGGAAAACAGGAAAUGGAGCAUGGUGUGAGGUCAGCACACCACUGACUGUCCAACCAUGGAGCAGCUAAGCCCAAGUGUACAUCACACCAGUGUUUCCCCCUGAAUGGUUAUGUCCUGCAGCUGCUGUGGAGACCCUGUGAUGCUGCCUUAAAGCAUUCAUUAAAAGGUGCUUAAUUCCAUAUAUCUAAAGCGAUGAAUAAACAGGAGAAAGUAAAUGUACAUUUUAAGCUACAUAUCAAAAGUACAGUUUGACAUUUUCAGGAAUAUAACAGUAGAACACUUAAGUCUUGUUAAAAACUGCUGUGCAAAAAUUAUUAAUUGAAGAUUUAGCAAACCUCCUAUAUUUAAGCUACACUAAGCUAAUCAUCUGAGGGGUCUAUAGAAUCAUAUGUGAUGGACAGGUGUGAGAGUGGUAUUGAUCUUCUAAUGUAACAAUUGAAUGCAAGAAGUGUAUUAUCCCAAAAUGUCACAUAACAAAUUGAACAAUUAGGAUAUAAGGUGCUCCAAUCCUGCUAACGUAAGCUAAGAUACAGCUUCAGCUACAGCUGUUGGUUAUAGCUUCACAUUUAUAGUGCAGACAUGAAAGUGCUAUCAGUCAUCUCAUGUAACACCAUAUUUCUCAAAUGUGUUAGUUUAGCAUAAAUACAGCAUAGAUGUUUUUACUUUUUGUGUUUGAAUUUAAUUAUUUUGCACAUUUUAAAGGUUCUGGUUGGUUCAAAGCGCUCACUUACUGCUAUUUAGGAGACAGUUUUGAUUUCGUUAUAGUCCAGAAUGUGCAUUAAAGCAAAUCUACUCAGUCAUAAUCACGAGGGAUGGAAUGUUCUGGUCCACAGCCUCAGUUUGAAACAAGCAGGAGGCAGACAAGAUGGUGUGUUUCUUACAUAAAAAUCUUCACUAUCUAUUCAGAGCUCUCACUGCUAAUUAAGCACAGUGAGUCAGUGAGGCUCAGGAGAAAGGGCAUCAAACAAACACAAACUGUGGUGCUUUGUGAAUGAAUCAUUCUCAACAUGGACUGAAUGCUGAGUCAUGUUAAAAGACAGAAGGGUUUUUGUGUGUGUGUUAGUCACUUUUAAUUCACUCUAUGCAAACACAGUAGCAGCACUCAGGCAAAAGGAACCAGCACAAUUUUAGUAGUAUCUGUUGAUGCAGUCAAAUGACUUGUUAGCUAACACUAGUAGUACAAGUAGCUGCUUUAGUAGUUGUAGUAGUAGGUGUUGUUAUGCAAGCUAUUUCACUAGCAAGGGUAUCAGUCAGAGAGGUAACAGUCAUAAAGGAAGUGUCACCUGGCUGGUUCUCAAUAGGACAUCCAGUUUUUCAUGUUAUCUGGGUCCUGGUUGAUCUCGGUUGACCUCGGUUUUUAGAUAUCUGAUUCAGAUGGCGUGUUCCUUCAGGUACUGGUAAGACAGAACGGACAGUUUGAGCAUCAGUCCAUUCAUCUAAAGGCUUAUCAGAUGCCGAAACACAACACAGAGGUAUGCAAUACUACAAGGAAAGACUUAGUACUGGAAGUUGUACAUAAGAUUAUCACAUCAACAUGUUCAUAUGUAUAAUCUACCAGGAAUGUGCACAAACUAGAUUGGCCAUUGCAGCUCUUCACUGGAUGGCAUUACAUUGUAAUGGGGCAAAAGCUGAACCAGAGCUUUUGCCUCCUGUGUUUCAUGAGUGUAGUGUAGUUAGUUGAAUUAAAUGGUGUAAGUAGGUAAGUAGAGUUUAUUUAUAAAGCAUCUUCCAUAGACACAAAGUGGCUGACACGAAGCUAAGGCUAGCUUUAUUCACCUUAGCUGGGCAGCACAAAAAAGGACUGUGCUUACAGGGAUCCUGUGCUAUUGUUCCUUGGGUGACUUCUGGGGCAAAAUAAAAAUAAUUUAACACACACCUGUAACUGAUUUCUCAUUUUCCCUGUGU